GACGAACGCUGGCGGCGUGCCUAAUACAUGCAAGUAGAACAGUUGCGAACGGGUGAGUAACGCGUAGGUAACUGCCUCAGAGAGGGGGAUAACUAUUGGAAACGAUAGCUAAUACCGAAUACUGUGAGAUGGACCUGCGUUGUAUUAGUUAGUUGGUGAGGUAAAGGCGCACCAAGGCGACGAUACACAGCCGACCUGAGAGGGUGGUCGGCCAACCUGAGACUGUGACACGGCCCCGUCUCCUACGGGAGGCACCAGUAGGUAAACUUCGGCCAUGGGCGGAAGUCUGACCGAACCACUCCGCGUGAUUGAAGAAGGUUUUCGGAUCGUAGAGCUCUGUUGUUAGGGAAGCGGUAACUAACCAGACAGGGCCGGCUAACUACGUGCCAGCAGCCGCGGUAAUUC
RNAcentral lists this ribosomal RNA (405 nucleotides) under uncultured bacterium. RNAcentral describes it as "partial 16S ribosomal RNA". It matches the Rfam family "Bacterial small subunit ribosomal RNA", at positions 28 to 526 of the family's 1533-position model. The record is from RNAcentral.